GCCGUGGUAGCUCAGUCGGUAGAGCAUCGCACGCGUAAUGCGAAGACGUGGGAUCGUUGCCCACCUGCGGCA
RNAcentral lists this transfer RNA (72 nucleotides) under Dermacentor andersoni. Its description in RNAcentral is "transfer RNA threonine (anticodon CGU)". It matches the Rfam family "tRNA". From Rfam's summary of the family: Transfer RNA (tRNA) molecules are approximately 80 nucleotides in length. Lineage: Eukaryota; Metazoa; Arthropoda; Arachnida; Ixodida; Ixodidae. The record is from RNAcentral.